Molecule: transfer RNA, 73 nt
Filed under: Fusarium pseudograminearum CS3220
Lineage: Eukaryota; Fungi; Ascomycota; Sordariomycetes; Hypocreales; Nectriaceae
Also listed under: 2 other names
Description: tRNA-Arg
Rfam family: tRNA
About the family: Transfer RNA (tRNA) molecules are approximately 80 nucleotides in length. Their secondary structure includes four short double-helical elements and three loops (D, anti-codon, and T loops).
Source: RNAcentral
AAGGAUAUUAGUUUAAUGGUAAAACUAGAUGUUUCGGCCAUCUUGAUGGCAGUUCAAGUCUGCAAUAUCCUUA